ACACUAGGGGUUUCUUGGGGAUACGCAGAUGACAAAGACAGUGUCUCUUCAUCCAGGAGCUAAUCAAGAGAAGGGGGAAGAAUCAAGCAAACUUCAUAAUACACAGCCGGAUGAAAUGAAAAGAGACUUAGAUCAAGUGCUGUGAGAGCUUGGAAGAGGCACGGGGCAAAUAACACUGGGGCUGGUGGUGGGAAGGCAAGUGACAGCCUCGUGGAAGAGGUGGCAUUUGACCAGAGAUGAGGACGAACAGAAUUAACAUAGUAGGCAUGAAGGAAGAAAAUGCGCCUGAGGACACAGCCAGCACAAAUGCAGAGGCAUACAAGUGCCUGGUACAGCUGGCAUGCAGGGAUGGCUGAGGAACUGCGGGGGCAGCCGGUGGGAUCCAUCCGAGGUAAAGGUUAGAGGCAAGUCUCGGAGAUGGAAACCCAAGGUCAUGCAGUUGUGCCAAUGCCCGUUGUUAGACAACAUGCUUCUAUUCCUGACAAACCAGUCUCAAGCAGCUCUGACUGAUGGGGCGGAUUUCAAUGCUCUCCAAUGACUUCCAAGUGUUAAGAAAAAGCUGCUGCUACCCUACAUGCCCAAGCUAUACGAACUACUUUUUUCCAGGCAAACAGGAUUCCUGCAGACAAUGCUCGGAUGAUGAAAUCUGAGAGGCUGGAUGACAGAGAAACCCACAUGCAUACACACACACUUUAUAAAGCUUAGGAACAAAAGCACUUUAUAAUCUCCUUCUGAUGCCAAGUUUACAGUGCUUCCAGAGUCAACAAAGGUGACUCAGGAGAGUGCACCCAGCUCCUUUCAGCACUUAUUUAGCUCAGCCACCUGUGUGAGCUCAAAGACAAGGGUGCCGACUUCACCUGAGUAGACCCUGAGUCACGUGAUUUCUUGCUGGAGAUGAUUCAGCAAAGGAGCACUAACCUCUGAGACAAGGCUUCAGCUUCCUGAGCUCUGCUGACUCGCCUGGGACUUCCCUAAGCCCUUCUGGACCUAGAUGAGGGCAAAACUCAGUGGAACCUCAGAAGCCCUAAAAAAAUGAUAGACUUUCUUUUGUCUCAUCAUUAUCAGCAUUUUGGGAUGAUUUAGUCAGCCUAAGAAACCUGAUGGCAUGUUGACACCAGAAAACAGGUAGUAUAUAUUCCCAAACCAAGUUAAAAAAAAUUAAGAAAUAACAGCUGGAAUGCCUUUUAUUUUUUCUUUACACAAAUGUGUGUGUCAUCGUCAUAUGCCUUUUUUGUGUUAAUUUCUGAGGAUCCUGCCAGUGUGAAUACUCCAUUCUCUGCGAGUCGCAGGUCAGGCUGCUUUUGAGGCAAGCACACGUUAAGUAUUGAGCAGAAACAUUUGAAGCAAAGAUGAGAAAGACAGAAGGGGAAGCAAGAAAAAUAGUCUUCCCAGUGUGCCUAUUUGGGUGCAUAUAAAGUUACUUUUAGAUGUGCGAUUACUGGUUAAUGAUUUGGGGAAUUCUUUUCAAGUAGAAAUCCUGGGCUAAAAACUAAGUGUGCUCAAGCUACCCCCGCACCCACUGAUUCUGCACUCCAUGGGAAAAGUUCUCACAAGCAAGUCCUUUGUCCACUACCCACGUCUAUAGGAAAUGUUUGAACAGCUAUACACAAAGAACUCACAAGUCCACAACCUCGGGGGUGUUGCGGGUGGAGAGGGCAGUGGUAAAGGUGAUGACAGGGAGGGCCUGUGGGGACAGUAAUAUUAGAUUAGUGGUCAGAAGAUGCUGGAGCCUGCCUUGCCAGUCACACACUUUUAGAGGAAUGCUGGACAGUACACACCCUCCCCAACCCUGAAUGUAGGCCCUCGCUGACAUCACGCCAGAUGAAGCCCUGAGGUCUUUAACAUCUGUAACUCUAUGGCAUGUAACAUAAACAGGUGUCUGACCAGUUUCCCCAGAUAUAGAAUAAUAAUAAUACCUUUCAUUUAAAAAGGUAAGAGGGAAUUCAACAAGCUUUCCUUCUUAAAUAAAUCUCCAUCUCAGGAAGCCAUGGAAAGAUGCCCCUCCCACACUAAGACUGUAGAGAGAGGCACUGUGAAGGUCUGGCUUGGAGAUCUCAGCUCUUCCUGCCUCUCAGGGGGAAAGGGCAGAUCCAGCAGGCCGGGAAAGGAUCUCCCAGGGUCCCAAGGAGGCAGCAUGGGGCAAAGUCCAACAGUGAGGAUUCUCUCCUUCUCUGGUCUCUUUUCUGUUAAAAAUGCUUCUUUGGGGUACCCUUCAUUACUACCCUGGAGGUUGAAGGACACUUCUUGAGAAGGCAUAGAUACUCUUCAGGUAUGCUGAAGAAAUGAGUUGUGCUAAAACCACUGGUUAAUUUUGUCUGUGGCAAAAAAUCAUGAGGGUGACAUAGACUCCCAGGCCAGGAACCCGAGACUGGAUUUAAGAGAUGUGGCCAGGAUCCACAGGGGAGCUUGUAUGUGGCUCACAUCAUUAGCUCUUUCUGUAUAUUUGUAUUGUAAACCAUUUCCCUUCAUUUGUGAAGAUGGAGAUCACUUUUUCUAUACAGGCUAGAAAUGUUUCUUCAUACACACACGCUGAGCUUGUUUAUAAAAGAUAUUCAUUUAUAUGGUGGUUUUAACAACUUUUCCAUGUGGAAAUUUUAGACGACAGUAACACAGACCCUCAUGUACUCAUCACUCAGCCUUGAUGGUUACUGACACAUGCCCAAUAUUGUUUCAUCUGUUUCUCCCCACAACUCCUGGAUUAAUUUGAAAGAAAUCCUAGAAGUCACUUAAUCAGCAAAUACUCCAGUCUGUUGGUCCACUCCUUAUACAAUAGCCAGGGUGAUCUUUUACACAUGAAGUAGUGAUUGCAUCACUCAUGCUUGCUUGGAAUUCUUCAAAGACUUACGUUGGCACUUCAGAUAAAGUGUAGACUCCUUCGCGUGACCUAGGAUGUCCUUUGGGCUCUCACUGUUCCCUCAGCCUCCUCACCUGAAGCUCUCACUGCCCCACCCCUUUGCUCAUCACACUCCAACCCGCCUGCCAUUGAGCUACUCAAAUGGACUGCUCCUUUCUCAAGACCUCUGCACACUUUCAAGCCUCAUUUCUCUUCAGCCUUUAUUAAAUGUCAUCUCCUCCAGAUGGCCUCCUUUGGUGGCCCAGGUCAUGUUAGAUCUGCCUGUUAAAUAAAUGCUUUCAAAGAA
RNAcentral lists this long non-coding RNA (3140 nucleotides) under Homo sapiens (human). RNAcentral describes it as "PRKCH antisense RNA 2, transcript variant 2 (PRKCH-AS2)". The record is from RNAcentral. Lineage: Eukaryota; Metazoa; Chordata; Mammalia; Primates; Hominidae.